This 582-nucleotide long non-coding RNA is filed under the name Cyanistes caeruleus (blue tit). Its description in RNAcentral is "lncRNA (ENSCCEG00000021583.1)". The record is from RNAcentral. Lineage: Eukaryota; Metazoa; Chordata; Aves; Passeriformes; Paridae.
CUCGGGGGCAAUGCAUAAUAUUGAUGAGAUGAUGAUAAUGGAAAUGCCUCUGGCCUCUGCUCUUUGCAGAGGGAUUGGAUAGAGCAGCACAGUCUCUGCACCUUAGGACCUGGCAUCUUGCACCUGGAGAGAGCAAUCCCCAUGGAGGAAACUCAUAAUUCAUCUUAGUGAUGCAGACUGCUGCUCAGCAAAUCCCCUCACCACUGGAGCUGCAGAUCUGAAAUGGCAUUAAAGAGGAAAUCAACCUUUUGCACAGUUUCCUCUUGGAAACUCUUUGUGUGUGGCUCUGGGGAUCUUUUCCUGCCUGUUUAACCCAACUGGGAGGAUUCUUCAGGUGCUGUUCACAUCUGCCCUGUCUGAGCCCAGCCCUGCCUGGACAUGAGUCUGAGCAGCUCACACUUCACCAUGCUCCACGUCCAUCCACUCCUGCACCCAUGGAAGCACCCAUGAAGAACUUGUCAGUGAUGAGCUGUGGGAACAAUUCUUUCUGCACACUUUUCCUUCCCAAAGAAAGAAAAAGAAAAAGAAAAUGAAAAAGAAAGAGGAAAAGGAAAAGGAAAAGGAAAAGGAAAAGGAAAAGGA